GACGAACGCUGGCGGCGUGCUUAACACAUGCAAGUCGAACGGAAAGGCCCUGCUUUUGUGGGGUGCUCGAGUGGCGAACGGGUGAGUAACACGUGAGUAACCUGCCCUUGACUUUGGGAUAACUUCAGGAAACUGGGGCUAAUACCGGAUAUGAGCUCCUGCUGCAUGGUGGGGGUUGGAAAGUUUCGGCGGUUGGGGAUGGACUCGCGGCUUAUCAGCUUGUUGGUGGGGUAGUGGCUUACCAAGGCUUUGACGGGUAGCCGGCCUGAGAGGGUGACCGGCCACAUUGGGACUGAGAUACGGCCCAGACUCCGACGGGAGGCAGCAGUGGAGAAUAUUGCACAAUGGGCGGAAGCCUGAUGCAGCAACGCCGCGUGCGGGAUGACGGCCUUCGGGUUGUAAACCGCUUUCGCCUGUGACGAAGCGUGAGUGACGGUAAUGGGUAAAGAAGCACCGGCUAACUACGUG
Molecule: ribosomal RNA, 468 nt
Filed under: uncultured bacterium
Lineage: Bacteria
Description: partial 16S ribosomal RNA
Rfam family: Bacterial small subunit ribosomal RNA
Source: RNAcentral